RNAcentral lists this ribosomal RNA (1642 nucleotides) under Staphylococcus aureus. Its description in RNAcentral is "partial 23S ribosomal RNA". It matches the Rfam family "Bacterial large subunit ribosomal RNA", at positions 551 to 2196 of the family's 2925-position model. Lineage: Bacteria; Bacillati; Bacillota; Bacilli; Caryophanales; Staphylococcaceae. The record is from RNAcentral.
UGAAACCGUGUGCUUACAAGUAGUCAGAGCCCGUUAAUGGGUGAUGGCGUGCCUUUUGUAGAAUGAACCGGCGAGUUACGAUUUGAUGCAAGGUUAAGCAGUAAAUGUGGAGCCGUAGCGAAAGCGAGUCUGAAUAGGGCGUUUAGUAUUUGGUCGUAGACCCGAAACCAGGUGAUCUACCCUUGGUCAGGUUGAAGUUCAGGUAACACUGAAUGGAGGACCGAACCGACUUACGUUGAAAAGUGAGCGGAUGAACUGAGGGUAGCGGAGAAAUUCCAAUCGAACCUGGAGAUAGCUGGUUCUCUCCGAAAUAGCUUUAGGGCUAGCCUCAAGUGAUGAUUAUUGGAGGUAGAGCACUGUUUGGACGAGGGGCCCCUCUCGGGUUACCGAAUUCAGACAAACUCCGAAUGCCAAUUAAUUUAACUUGGGAGUCAGAACAUGGGUGAUAAGGUCCGUGUUCGAAAGGGAAACAGCCCAGACCACCAGCUAAGGUCCCAAAAUAUAUGUUAAGUGGAAAAGGAUGUGGCGUUGCCCAGACAACUAGGAUGUUGGCUUAGAAGCAGCCAUCAUUUAAAGAGUGCGUAAUAGCUCACUAGUCGAGUGACACUGCGCCGAAAAUGUACCGGGGCUAAACAUAUUACCGAAGCUGUGGAUUGUCCUUUGGACAAUGGUAGGAGAGCGUUCUAAGGGCGUUGAAGCAUGAUCGUAAGGACAUGUGGAGCGCUUAGAAGUGAGAAUGCCGGUGUGAGUAGCGAAAGACGGGUGAGAAUCCCGUCCACCGAUUGACUAAGGUUUCCAGAGGAAGGCUCGUCCGCUCUGGGUUAGUCGGGUCCUAAGCUGAGGCCGACAGGCGUAGGCGAUGGAUAACAGGUUGAUAUUCCUGUACCACCUAUAAUCGUUUUAAUCGAUGGGGGGACGCAGUAGGAUAGGCGAAGCGUGCGAUUGGAUUGCACGUCUAAGCAGUAAGGCUGAGUAUUAGGCAAAUCCGGUACUCGUUAAGGCUGAGCUGUGAUGGGGAGAAGACAUUGUGUCUUCGAGUCGUUGAUUUCACACUGCCGAGAAAAGCCUCUAGAUAGAAAAUAGGUGCCCGUACCGCAAACCGACACAGGUAGUCAAGAUGAGAAUUCUAAGGUGAGCGAGCGAACUCUCGUUAAGGAACUCGGCAAAAUGACCCCGUAACUUCGGGAGAAGGGGUGCUCUUUAGGGUUAACGCCCAGAAGAGCCGCAGUGAAUAGGCCCAAGCGACUGUUUAUCAAAAACACAGGUCUCUGCUAAACCGUAAGGUGAUGUAUAGGGGCUGACGCCUGCCCGGUGCUGGAAGGUUAAGAGGAGUGGUUAGCUUCUGCGAAGCUACGAAUCGAAGCCCCAGUAAACGGCGGCCGUAACUAUAACGGUCCUAAGGUAGCGAAAUUCCUUGUCGGGUAAGUUCCGACCCGCACGAAAGGCGUAACGAUUUGGGCACUGUCUCAACGAGAGACUCGGUGAAAUCAUAGUACCUGUGAAGAUGCAGGUUACCCGCGACAGGACGGAAAGACCCCGUGGAGCUUUACUGUAGCCUGAUAUUGAAAUUCGGCACAGCUUGUACAGGAUAGGUAGGAGCCUUUGAAACGUGAGCGCUAGCUUACGUGGAGGCGCUGGUGGG